This 523-nucleotide ribosomal RNA is filed under the name uncultured bacterium. RNAcentral's name for it is "bacterial SSU rRNA". It matches the Rfam family "Bacterial small subunit ribosomal RNA", at positions 54 to 573 of the family's 1533-position model. The record is from RNAcentral.
CAUGCAAGUCGAACGGGGCUCAGAGAACAGAGGACUUGUCCAAAGUUUUCGAAAGCCUAGUGGCGGACGGGUGAGUAACACGUGAGCAACCUGCCUUGGACUGGGGAAUAACUGUGGGAAACCAUAGCUAAUACCGCAUAAAGUCACGAGAGGACAUCCUCCUGUGACCAAAGGAGCAAUCCGGUCUUAGAUGGGCUCGCGUCCGAUUAGAUAGUUGGUGAGGUAACGGCUCACCAAGUCUGCGAUCGGUAGCCGGACUGAGAGGUUGAACGGCCACAUUGGGACUGAGACACGGCCCAGACUCCUACGGGAGGCAGCAGUGGGGAAUAUUGGGCAAUGGGCGAAAGCCUGACCCAGCAAUGCCGCGUGAAGGACGAAGGUCUUCGGAUUGUAAACUUCUUUGAUCAGGGACGAAUAAAUGACGGUACCUGAAGAACAAGCCACGGCUAACUACGUGCCAGCAGCCGCGGUAAUACGUAGGUGGCGAGCGUUAUCCGGAUUUACUGGGUGUAAAGGGCGUGUA